RNAcentral lists this ribosomal RNA (497 nucleotides) under uncultured bacterium. RNAcentral's name for it is "partial 16S ribosomal RNA". It matches the Rfam family "Bacterial small subunit ribosomal RNA", at positions 28 to 507 of the family's 1533-position model. The record is from RNAcentral.
GACGAACGCUGGCGGCGUGCCUAAUACAUGCAAGUAGAACGCUGAAGAGAGGAGCUUGCUCUUCUUGGAUGAGUUGCGAACGGGUGAGUAACGCGUAGGUAACCUGCCUUGUAGCGGGGGAUAACUAUUGGAAACGAUAGCUAAUACCGCAUAACAAUGGAUGACCCAUGUCAUUUAUUUGAAAGGGGCAAAUGCUCCACUACAAGAUGGACCUGCGUUGUAUUAGCUAGUAGGUGAGGUAACGGCUCACCUAGGCGACGAUACAUAGCCGACCUGAGAGGGUGGUCGGCCACACUGGGACUGGGACACGGCCCAGACUCCUACGGGAGGCAGCAGUAGGGAAUCUGCGGCAAUGGGGGCAACCCUGACCGGGCAACGCCGCGUGAGUGAAGAAGGUUUUCGGAUCGUAAAGCUCUGUUGUAAGUCAAGAACGAGUGUGAGAGUGGAAAGUUCACACUGUGACGGUAGCUUACCAGAAAGGGACGGCUAACUACGUG